GGCUUUUAAUUGCUAAUUAUAUUUAAAACAACAACAACAACAGAUUGACAUAAUUAUACACCGAAGUUUGACAGGGAGUUAUGUAGGAGUCAUGCUGUUGGGCGGUCGGUCGAUUGGUUGGUCGGUUGAUAGGUUUGUUUGUUUGUCCGAAUCAAAUGUUUAAAGUAUGUAAAGCGACUUCAUUUGUCAAGCUAUUGAAUCGAAACUAGGAAUAUGUAAUCCCCUUUAAAGUGAAGAUGUGCAAGACACUUUUUCAUGAGCAGUGAUCCACACGUUCUUGAGUUAUUUAGCCUUGAUAGUAAACCUAUUAUGGCAAACGUUUACAAUUUUCUCUGUUUGUGAAGUGAUCUUUUUCCAUAUUUCUCAAGCGAUAGAAUUGAAACUUGAAAUAUGGCAAUAACAUGAAGUGUAUGAUGUUCAAGACACAAUUUUGUUUGCUGUUUCAAAGUGGUGAGAGGGUAUGUUAAGUCAUGUUUGUGACAAAGCUGUAGUUUAUGUACGUAAAAUGCAUCACGUAUAACGAUCAUGAAGUUUAAACUUAAUUAGUUUUAACCCAAUUCCAAAUCAUGGAACAAUUGUUAAGAGUUUAAUGGCAGAUAUAUUGACUUUAAUUAAACAUAAAUGAAAUAAUGCAUAUUGCCACUUUUAACCUGAACGUGUUUUUAAAUAAACCUUGUAAAAUUCUACUUGCAAAUUAUCUGAUAACCUGUGUACUUAUUAUAUUAUGCUUGCAAAAACUGUGCAUAUUUGUUUUAAAUGAGACACUCCAUACAUAUAUAUCAGCACAUGUAAUUUAAUCAUGAAUAAGGCACAAUUCUAAUAUUGGGAGAUUAAUCUCCAAGUAUAAACAUGCUUGACAUUGAUGUCAAUAGAUGCUACAAAGUGGUUCAUUUCUGCAAGAUUCUACACAUCCAUGUUCUCAACAAGAUAUUGUUCCCAAACAGUCGAUACUUACAGAUAAUUCUUAUUCACUUUAACGUGAUAAGGCGCGAAUGGCGGCGUUUUUAAGUCGAGAGAGGAAAAUGUUUUAUUUACUGGAUUUAAUGCAUAUUUGUGAAUGUUAGUAUAGAGAUUUAAACGUGCUAAAUGUUCUUUUACAUGGAUACAAUGGUGCACGAUGAAAAAUUCGAACAAUAAAAAGAGAAAACAGAGGAAUAGUAGUGACAAUGGCCAAAACAAUAGCAACAAUAGUAAAGUGCAUAAACAAAGAGGCCCGUCCGGGAGUUCGAGUACAGAAUCUACUCCGGUAAGCGAUUUGCUUAAUUGGACAGAUUCGGUGCUGUAUGGAGAUCAACUGAGUGAUAGUGUGUUUGUGCCGGUGGAUGCGGCGGAUGCAAAAAUAGCGUCACAAAAAAUGGCGGACGGUGGCAAUUCCGAACCUACGAAUAGGGACCUUAUGGAGAUUAUGAAAUCUAUAAGUAAUCGACUAUUGUAGAGGACUUAGAGAUGUUUUUACAACAUAAUAUAGAGUCUGGAUUAACUAUUGACGAUGUUUUACUUAUAUUACUCCUUUUCGCCGAUGAUAUGGCCAUAUUGGGUAAAAAUCCAGAAGAAGUACAAAACCAUUUGGAUAAUCUGCUUGUGUAUUGUAAUACUUGGGGCCUUAAAGUUAACACUUCAAAAACUAAAAUUAUGGUUUUCCGUAAGAGGGGCCGCCUACGCCAAAAUGAGGCAUGGACAUACGAUGGCCAAAUCAUCGAAACAGUUGAUAACUUUAAUUAUUUAGAUCAAAACCGUCGGUGGAUACCGUAAUCCUGACAAGUUAACAAAGAUGAGAAGCUUUCUAUCAUACGUGAUAUGGAGAGUCCUCAGUUAAUCUGCACUAAUCGGAGCAAAUUAUCAGCUACAUUAGUUCGAGUGGACAGAAACCAACGCGUUUAUCUUGUAAUCUAAAAGUGCUCAGUUUAAAAAUUAUUAUAGGGCGGUUAACUGCAUUGCUUGUAAAACUUGGUUGACAAAUUAAAUUGUUGCACAAUUUUGCCCAGAUCUUCGACUGCAAUCUGAAAAAGCCAUAUAUACAUGAACGUAAUAAUCUGCAAUUCUGUCGUGUGUGUUUCUUUCCCCAUAGUAAUACUGUAUUCGAAUAGUAAAGCUUAAUGCGAGUGAACUCGUUUAUAUGCGAGGGUGAAGAUAGCUUACUUAAAGCCCUCUACUGCUUGAUAUCCCUAGCUAAAAUAAGUCGUAGCUUGCUAAUUCAAGCCGAAAUAGGUCACAGUUUGCAACUUCGAUGAUACGCGUGUCACAGUACAGAAUGCAUGCUUAAAUAUACGUAGUACGUUUGAAAAAAGAGUCUUGCUAAACUAUAAUUAGUACUUAUAAAACAAAGUGUCUUUUAUUUCAUUGAAACGAAUUUUGUUUGAAGAGAAAAAAUGUGUCUGUUCAAAAGCGCUUGGUGCGAUAUAUAUGUUUACUUAUUUUUGCGUGUGUACUAAAUCGAUUAACUCUUAAGGCUUCUAGCGCAAUCGCUUGACUAUUUCUAUCAAUGCAAUACAUUAUAGCAAAUUGUUCGUUAUUCUACCGAUUACAAUGCGUUUUUUUUUCAGUAACGUGUUCAUCUAAAUCAUUUUUUUUCCAAGUGUGUUUGGAAUUGGAUUAAAGGUACAUCCAAAAGUGUGCUUCUGCUCGUUGGCGCUGUUCGGCAAAUGUUGCUGUAAUUUCACCCGACUUAUAUUUUAAGUUGUGUCCAAAUACAUCAUUGCUUGAAAUUAAUUCCUGAGUCAGACAAAAAAAAAUGUGAAAAAAGUCAUAAAACUUAUCCUCGGCGGUAAAACAAUUUGGCCGCCUGUGAGAAGUUUGUUUGAAAAGAUCUCCAAAAACAAGGAUAUUAUCAUAAAGUGUGGGAACUCUUAACUCUGCACAAAUGUAAAGACAAUUAUCCCCAUCAAGUGAUUUCUACUGAUAGCAUGUUCUGAUUUCUUCCUCAAGCUGUUUGUUUUCACUGCUGAUGUGUGCACAAUGAUUGACAAAAAAGUUAUAUGAUGAGCUGCAAAAACUGAACAGUAAAUUUUAAUUUCUUGCUUACUUUAAAGUAGUAUGUCUAUAUUAAAUUCAUGGCUGUUUAUGUUUAUGAUUGGUAUUGGAUUUGUUGUCAAUCAUCUAAAAUGUAUAAUACAAAUGCAAAAUAGUCAGUUUGAUAACACCACAUUUAAACAUCUG
Dreissena polymorpha is the source of this 3156-nucleotide long non-coding RNA. RefSeq lists it as uncharacterized. Lineage: Eukaryota; Metazoa; Mollusca; Bivalvia; Myida; Dreissenidae. The record is from RefSeq and is a predicted model, not a curated record. The transcript is spliced from 2 exons.